This is an RNA transcript of Oreochromis aureus, 3071 nucleotides long. It is a transcript of the gene named cell surface A33 antigen-like, with no coding region annotated. The record is from RefSeq and is a predicted model, not a curated record. NCBI's taxonomy places the organism in Eukaryota, Metazoa, Chordata, Actinopteri, Cichliformes, Cichlidae. The transcript is spliced from 3 exons.
UGUUCGAGCUGCUUUAGUUUCAGCUGCUCACAGAGAGGACGCAGGUCUCCUGUCACCAAACCUCUUCUGUCUUGUGAGAAAGUGGAUGUUAGUUUUAAGAUUUUGUACUACUUUGUGUUGGUCUGUCACAAAAAAUCUCAGUAAAAACAUUUGAGUUUGUGGUUGUAAGGCGACAAAAUGUGUAAAAGUUUAAGGGGUAUGAAAACUUUUUCAAGGCACAGUAUAUGCAGGUACGUGUAUAUUUGUUUCAUAUGCCUGGCAUGACAGCUCAUCAUCACCUUGAGAGCAUUUUAGUAAGUUUGGGCAAACAGAUAAAGGCUAAUAACACAUGAAAUUUCAAAUAUGUCAUAUAUUUUAUUAGGUACUAAUGAGCAGUUGCAAUGGAUGAGCAGUUGCAAUGCUCUCCAUUUGUCCCAUGUGAGUUGAUCUUUUUUUUUUUUUUUGCACGUUACUCUGUUUCUAUUUAUUUGCUAUGAUUUGCCAUUUGUUGAGUAACAUUGCUGCACUCACUAUCCCGGUUUGUUUGUGUAAGCGUUCUGUUGCCGGCAAAACAAACAUUCUGCAAAUACUCAGUUACACGUUUCUUUAUAUUUUAUUAUGUUACAGAUUAAGUCAUGUGUUCAUACUUUGUUCUUUCUUUCCAGUCUUCAUGUGGGUCAGGUAUGGGGAAACGCCUGCCCAGCAUUUUCUCACACAUGACAUCAGCGGGUCGAACCAAGCGGAGGGGUUUCUUUUUCCAUAGAAAUGCUUCCUUUUGUUUGUUUCAAGUUCUGAAGGGGUUUGUUGAAUCUUGUUUUCGUAAAUAGAACCGUUUAGUUAUGUAAAUGUGCCAGUUAGAAGUGUGAGGAGGUUUUGUGUCUUUUUAAUCAUCUGUGUAGAGUUUUAGAUCCCUCAGUUCAAGUGAGUGGUAGAUGUGGAAGUGGAAGAUCAGGAAGAUGGAGAAGCAGGAAGUUAGCAGAGACGCAUCUUCCAGCGGAAUCUGCAUGAAUAUUGAAGAUACUUAAUACCUAGACAGAGGAAUAAUAACGCGUGGGGCAUCGGCUUUCACCGGAACAUUCACACCAAAAGGGACCAGGAAACCAUCACAGCUGAGUCUGGACAGGAUGUCACUCUGACAUGUCGAGCUCCAAUCAACAACGGUGACAUUGUAGAGUGGAGCAGAGCUGACCUGAGAGAUACAUUUGUGUUUGUGUUGAUAAACAAGACGCCCAACGAAGAUGAUCAGAACCCAUCGUAUAAGCACCGGGUGGAUCUGCAGGACAAAGAGAUGAAGGAUGGAGAUGUGUCUGUGAUUCUGAAGAAUGUGACGGCUGCUGAUAAUGGAACAUAUGAGUGUUGCAUCGUCAUGGUAGGAACAUGUCCCCCCAUCUGCAGCAUCAGCCUGAGAGUUGUUGAUCCUCCAGGUAACACAGGAGGAGACACAGAGGAUGGAUCUGUUGGACUGAAAGUUGGUCUUCCAUUUGCUGUUAUUGUUGCUGCUGCUGUUGUUGUUGUUUUGAUCUACAGAAAUCGUAACCCACUGAUGCAGGAUUCAUCCCAGCCUCCAGUUGAACUUCAGCCUGUUUGAAAUGUUUCAGUUUUUUCCAGCUGAUCUGAGUCUCCUGCUGUUUCAGCUUCUCAGAGGUGACACUGAGCAUUCAGGAUAAAGACAGUUGUGAUUUUCCAAUCUUGUAAGUGAAACAUGUGCAGAGUCAAAUGUCACACAUUUUCUUUUUCUUUGUUAUAAAAUGUCGACAAACAAUCCAGGAAACAUUUUCAGGUUUUAUGUUUAAACGUACAUUAUAGAGUCUCGACCACCUGCUGAGCUAACAUCUCUUUAACUUUUACUUUAACCUCCUGAGACUCAAACUCUUUCAUGGCAUUUUUAAUUUCUCUUUGAUAUUUGGGCUGAUUGGGACCUGAUGAAAGUGAAAAUAAAGAAUUACCUGAUUUUUAAUUUUUUUUAUCUGACUUUUGUUUCUGAGAAAAAUGAGAUCCCCAUAUGAGGACAUUUAUUUUAAAUUUCAUAUAACAGUGUCAGUAUAACGUCCUCGUACGUGGAUAUCAGGCCCUUGUAGAGUAAAAUUCUGUAUUUUGGUCUAGACGACCCAAAAUGUGAUGUCCACAUGUGUGGAUGUGUUACAGGCCCAGCUGUAGAGGCGCAGCCAGAUUACCAUCCUGUAACACAGGAGAGAGAGUGAACACAGGAAACAUGCUGCUGUUCGCCUGGUCAGUUGUACCAGAACCACAAGCUCACAGCAGCUGUGCGCACAACUCAGUCCCCACAGCACUCUGCUGCCCUCUGCUGUCCAGAGUCAUGUGACCUCCCCUGUAAUACAAAACUAGUCUGACUGUGUGAACCUCAUUAUACCAGUAAACCAGCAAAGUGACACAUGCACAAUUACCUCCAUAUAUCACACCACUUAACUCACAGUUGUGACCACAUGUUUGUGUGGAUCACAGACGGCAGGUCCUAGGAGGUUAAGAUCAAACUGCCUGCUGCUUCUCUCAUGUUUGUAUCAGAGGAGCUUCUGAUUAUAUACAGCUUUAAGCACUCAAAGCACUUCUUAACUUUAUUGUUUUGUAUUUAAUAUAUUUACUUUUAAUGCACGUUACAAUAGUGGAUGAUGAGGUUUCAUGUUUUUAAUGUAACUUUCUGACCUGUUGACUCAGUUCAUGCAGUUUUCAGGGACUUUGUGUUUCUCAUGUUUUUACUGUAAAAGUGCCUUCAGAUGGUUGUUGUUUCCUGCUGCUUCAUGAAUAAUCCUGCAGUGAAACUGAAUCUGAGCUGGACCCAAACAAACCUCACUGAGCUGAUGUGUAAACUGGAUCUAAGCAAGAAUCAAACUGCAUUAAAAACCUGACAGAAAACCUGCUCACUGACUUUCUCUCACUUUGACUCUGAAACUGUAACGAGAGACAACAUUUAGACAUUAACUGUCAUUAUAUAACAAGUUUGUACAGCUGUAGUCUCUUGAUGCUACGAACAGAAAACAAAAAAUAAAUAACUUGGUCAUAAAAAGGUGUCGGUGUAACUGGCUCAACCAGGACUUUGCACCAUGGCUCAGACAGCUGUGUUCAUGGUCGUACCU